This 76-nucleotide transfer RNA is filed under the name Methylibium petroleiphilum PM1. Its description in RNAcentral is "tRNA-Trp". Lineage: Bacteria; Pseudomonadati; Pseudomonadota; Betaproteobacteria; Burkholderiales; Sphaerotilaceae. The record is from RNAcentral.
GCUCUACGUGCCGGAACCGUUCUUUAUUGAAGAGCGCGACGCGAACAAUGCCCGCCGCCUGGCGCAGUGGCAAAGC